GAUGAACGCUGGCGGCGUGCCUAAUACAUGCAAGUCGAGCGAACAGAUGAGGCGCUUGCUCCUCUGUCGUUAGCCGCGCACGGGUGUGUAACACGUGUAUACCCCACCUAUCUUACUGGGAUCACUUCGGGACUCCGGCGCUAAUACCGGAUAAUCUAUUGAUCCGUAUGGUUCAUUAGUGAAAGACGGCUUUGCUGUCACUUAUAGAUGCAUCCGGGCUGCAUUAGCUGGUUGGUACGGUAACGGCUUACCAAGGCAACGAUGCGUAGCCGACCGGAGAGACGGAUCGCCCACAUGGGAGCGGGGACAGGGUCCAGACUCCUGCGGGAGGCAGCAGAAGGGAAUGUGCCGCAGUAGGGGAGAGCAUGGCGGAGCGACGCCGCGUGAGAGAUGAAGGUCUUCGGUGCGUAAUACUCUGUUAUGGGUGAAGAACAAAUGUGUAAGUAACUAUGCACGUCUUGACGGUACCUGGUCAGAAAGCCACGGCUAACUACGUG
This 497-nucleotide ribosomal RNA is filed under the name uncultured bacterium. Its description in RNAcentral is "partial 16S ribosomal RNA". It matches the Rfam family "Bacterial small subunit ribosomal RNA", at positions 28 to 507 of the family's 1533-position model. The record is from RNAcentral.